RNAcentral lists this ribosomal RNA (253 nucleotides) under uncultured prokaryote. RNAcentral describes it as "partial 16S ribosomal RNA". It matches the Rfam family "Bacterial small subunit ribosomal RNA", at positions 524 to 776 of the family's 1533-position model. The record is from RNAcentral.
UACGGGGGGGGCAAGCGUUGUUCGGAAUUACUGGGCGUAAAGGGCGCGUAGGCGGCUUCUCAAGUCGGGCGUGAAAUCUCCGGGCUUAACCUGGAAAAGUCGUUCGAUACUGUCGAGCUAGAGUGUGGAAGAGGCUACUGGAAUUCCGUGUGUAGCGGUGAAAUGCGUAGAUAUCGAGAGGAACAUCGGUGGCGAAGGCGGCCUUCUGGACGGUGACUGACGCUGAGACGCGAAAGCGUGGGGAGCAAACAGG